GAUGAACGCUGGCGGCGUGCCUAAUACAUGCAAGUCGAGCGAACAGACGAGGAGCUUGCUCCUCUGACGUUAGCGGCGGACGGGUGAGUAACACGUGGAUAACCUACCUAUAAGACUGGGAUAACUUCGGGAAACCGGAGCUAAUACCGGAUAAUAUAUUGAACCGCAUGGUUCAAUAGUGAAAGACGGUUUUGCUGUCACUUAUAGAUGGAUCCGGGCCGCAUGAGCUAGUUGGUAAGGUAACGGCUUAUCAAGGCAACGAUGCGUAGCCGACCUGAGAGAGGGAUCGGCCACACUGGAGCUGAGACACGGUCCAGACUCCUACGGGAGGCAGCAGUAGGGAAUCUUCCGCAAUGGGCGAGAGCCUGGCGGAGCAACGCCGCGUGAGUGAUGAAGGUCUUCGGAUCGUAAAGCUCUGUUAUUAGGGAAGAACAACUGUGUAAGUAACUAUGCACGUCUUGACGGUACCUAAUCAGAAAGCCACGGCUAACUACGUG
This 497-nucleotide ribosomal RNA is filed under the name uncultured bacterium. RNAcentral describes it as "partial 16S ribosomal RNA". It matches the Rfam family "Bacterial small subunit ribosomal RNA", at positions 28 to 507 of the family's 1533-position model. The record is from RNAcentral.